UACGGAGGGUGCAAACGUUGCUCGGAAUCAUUGGGCGUAAAGCGCACGUAGGCGGCCCAGCAAGUCGGGUGUGAAAGCCCUCGGCUCAACCGAGGAAGUGCAUUCGAAACUACUGGGCUUGAAUACUGGAGAGGAUCGCGGAAUUCCCGGUGUAGAGGUGAAAUUCGUAGAUAUCGGGAGGAACACCAGUGGUGAAGGCGGCGAUCUGGACAGAUAUUGACGCUGAGGUGCGAAAGCGUGGGGAGCAAACAGG
Molecule: ribosomal RNA, 253 nt
Filed under: uncultured bacterium
Lineage: Bacteria
Description: partial 16S ribosomal RNA
Rfam family: Bacterial small subunit ribosomal RNA
Source: RNAcentral